CUGAGAUCGCGCCACUGCACUCCAGCCUGGGUGAGAGCGAGACUCCAUCUCAAAAAAAAAAAAAAAAACAGAGAGAGAGAAAUAUCUAAACACACACACACACACACACACACACACACACACACACACACACCAUAGAAGGAUGCCCAAGCAAGUAAUAAAAUUGAUUAUAUGUUAGUUAAAGGGUGGGAACUUAGUGGUUAGGAUAUAGGAUGCAGAGAUGGGGGGAUUACUUUUUGUUGUAUUCUUUUUUUAUUUUUUAAACCAUCUGAAUGCAUUAUCUAUUCAAGAAAUUGAAAAAGACACACACACACAAACUUCCACCUAGGACUGGGGAUUCUUGGAUUCUUCACAAGUUGCUGGGUAAAUGUGAUUCUACCUCAGCUGGCUGUCCCUCUGUCGUUUUCCCUCCCUCGCUCCCACCAGGUUUUCCUGAGACCCUGGAUUCCAGUAAACGGUCCUGCCAUCUCAACUCGUGCCUCCAGAUCAUGGACUAUGUGUGACCUUGGGCAAGUUACUUCAUCUCUCUGGGCCUCAAUAAAACAGAGUAAUCCUAGUACCUGCCUCCAAGGGUUAUGGCGCUCUAUUGAUUCAGAAGAUUGAGUUAUGCAUUGCAAACUGGCAGAGCAUUGAAAAGUAACAAGACCCAAUAAAUGGCAGUUUGUGAAAAUC
RNAcentral lists this long non-coding RNA (672 nucleotides) under Homo sapiens (human). RNAcentral's name for it is "HSALNT0174956". The record is from RNAcentral. Lineage: Eukaryota; Metazoa; Chordata; Mammalia; Primates; Hominidae.